AUUAACGUACAGCGAUGGAACGUCCUACGCUGACCAUUUUAGCAGUUAUGCUUGUGUUGGGCCUUGCAAGAUGCGAAGACUACUCUCGUUUCCUUGUCGACAUCGUUGAACCAACAGGAGUCGCUGAUGUAAAGACCACCAUGGCCACUGUUAAAAGCAUCUUGCAAGAAACAGCCGGUGUUGAUUUCAUCUUCAAGGUGUUUGGUGAACCAAGAGUAUUAGCAAUUCUGCAUAU
Long non-coding RNA from Haliotis rubra (blacklip abalone), 235 nucleotides. RefSeq lists it as uncharacterized. NCBI's taxonomy places the organism in Eukaryota, Metazoa, Mollusca, Gastropoda, Lepetellida, Haliotidae. The transcript has 3 exons. The record is from RefSeq and is a predicted model, not a curated record.